This 268-nucleotide ribosomal RNA is filed under the name uncultured bacterium. RNAcentral describes it as "partial 16S ribosomal RNA". It matches the Rfam family "Bacterial small subunit ribosomal RNA", at positions 793 to 1055 of the family's 1533-position model. The record is from RNAcentral.
GUCCUAGCCGUAAACGAUGAGCACUUGGUUGGAGGCUCCUCCAUAGGCUUCCGGCCGUAGCGAAAGUGUUAAGUGCUCCGCCUGGGGAGUAUGGCCGCAAGGCUGAAACUCAAAGGAAUUGACGGGGGCUCACACAAGCGGUGGAGGAUGUGGCUUAAUUCGAGGCUACGCGAAGAACCUUAUCCUAGUCUUGACAUGCAUGGAUUAACCCUAUGAAAGUAGGGCCACGCCUUCGGUGGAACAUGCACAGGUGCUGCAUGGCUGUCGU